GACGAACGCUGGCGGCGUGCCUAAUACAUGCAAGUCGAACGCACUCUCGUUUAGAUUGAAGGAGCUUGCUCCUGAUUGAUAAACAUUUGAGUGAGUGGCGGACGGGUGAGUAACACGUGGGUAACCUGCCCUAAAGUGGGGGAUAACAUUUGGAAACAGAUGCUAAUACCGCAUAAAACCUAAACACCGCAUGGUGUAGGGUUGAAAGAUGGUUUCGGCUAUCACUUUAGGAUGGACCCGCGGUGCAUUAGUUAGUUGGUGAGGUAAAGGGCUCACCAAGACCGUGAUGCAUAGCCGACCUGAGAGGGUAAUCGGCCACACUGGGACUGAGACACGGCCCAGACUCCUACGGGAGGCAGCAGUAGGGAAUCUUCCACAAUGGACGAAAGUCUGAUGGAGCAACGCCGCGUGAGUGAAGAAGGUUUUCGGAUCGUAAAACUCUGUUGUUGGAGAAGAAUGUAUCUGAUAGUAACUGAUCAGGUAGUGACGGUAUCCAACCAGAAAGCCACGG
Molecule: ribosomal RNA, 511 nt
Filed under: uncultured bacterium
Lineage: Bacteria
Description: bacterial SSU rRNA
Rfam family: Bacterial small subunit ribosomal RNA
Source: RNAcentral